GCUGGGCGUGGUGGCUCACGCUUGUAAUCCCAGCACUUUGGGAGGCUGAGGUGGGCGGAUCACCUGAGGUCAGGAGUUUGAGACCAGCCUGACCAACAUGGAGAAACCCCAUCUCUA
Molecule: non-coding RNA, 117 nt
Filed under: Nomascus leucogenys (northern white-cheeked gibbon)
Lineage: Eukaryota; Metazoa; Chordata; Mammalia; Primates; Hylobatidae
Source: Rfam by way of RNAcentral